UGUAUGGUUAAGUGACUAAGCGUACACGGUGGAUGCCUGGGCAGUCAGAGGCGAUGAAGGACGUACUAACUUGCGAUAAGCGCAGAUAAGGCAGUAAGAGCCGUUUGAGUCUGCGAUUUCCGAAUGGGGAAACCCAACUGCAUAAGCAGUUACUGUUAACUGAAUACAUAGGUUAACAGAGCAAACCGGGGGAACUGAAACAUCUAAGUACCCCGAGGAGAAGAAAUCAACCGAGAUUCCGGUAGUAGCGGCGAGCGAACCUGGAUUAGCCCUUAAGCACUCGGUGAAGUAGGUGAACAAGCUGGAAAGCUUGGCGAUACAGGGUGAUAGCCCCGUAACCGACGCUUCAUCGAGCGUGAAAUCGAGUAGGGCGGGACACGUGAUAUCCUGUCUGAAUAUGGGGGGACCAUCCUCCAAGGCUAAAUACUCCUGACUGACCGAUAGUGAACCAGUACCGUGAGGGAAAGGCGAAAAGAACCCCUGUGAGGGGAGUGAAAUAGAACCUGAAACCGUGUACGUACAAGCAGUAGGAGCACCUUCGUGGUGUGACUGCGUACCUUUUGUAUAAUGGGUCAGCGACUUAUAUUCAGUGGCAAGGUUAACCGUAUAGGGGAGCCGUAGCGAAAGCGAGUCUUAACUGGGCGCUCAGUCUCUGGAUAUAGACCCGAAACCGGGUGAUCUAGCCAUGGGCAGGUUGAAGGUUGAGUAACAUCAACUGGAGGACCGAACCGACUAAUGUUGAAAAAUUAGCGGAUGACUUGUGGCUAGGGGUGAAAGGCCAAUCAAACUCGGAGAUAGCUGGUUCUCCCCGAAAGCUAUUUAGGUAGCGCCUCGGACGAAUACUACUGGGGGUAGAGCACUGUUAAGGCUAGGGGGUCAUCCCGACUUACCAACCCUUUGCAAACUCCGAAUACCAGUAAGUACUAUCCGGGAGACACACGGCGGGUGCUAACGUCCGUCGUGGAGAGGGAAACAACCCAGACCGCCAGCUAAGGUCCCAAAGUAUUGCUAAGUGGGAAACGAUGUGGGAAGGCUCAGACAGCUAGGAUGUUGGCUUAGAAGCAGCCAUCAUUUAAAGAAAGCGUAAUAGCUCACUAGUCGAGUCGGCCUGCGCGGAAGAUGUAACGGGGCUAAGCAAUACACCGAAGCUGCGGCAAUGUCUUUUAGACAUUGGGUAGGGGAGCGUUCUGUAAGCCGUUGAAGGUGAAUCGUAAGGUUUGCUGGAGGUAUCAGAAGUGCGAAUGCUGACAUGAGUAACGACAAAGGGGGUGAAAAACCUCCUCGCCGGAAGACCAAGGGUUCCUGUCCAACGUUAAUCGGGGCAGGGUGAGUCGACCCCUAAGGUGAGGCCGAAAGGCGUAAUCGAUGGGAAACGGGUUAAUAUUCCCGUACUUCUGACUAUUGCGAUGGGGGGACGGAGAAGGCUAGGUGGGCCAGGCGACGGUUGUCCUGGUUCAAGUGCGUAGGCUUGAGAGUUAGGUAAAUCCGGCUCUCUCUAAGGCUGAGACACGACGUCGAGCUACUACGGUAGUGAAGUCAUUGAUGCCAUGCUUCCAGGAAAAGCCUCUAAGCUUCAGAUAGUCAGGAAUCGUACCCCAAACCGACACAGGUGGUCGGGUAGAGAAUACCAAGGCGCUUGA
RNAcentral lists this ribosomal RNA (1640 nucleotides) under Vibrio cholerae. Its description in RNAcentral is "partial 23S ribosomal RNA". It matches the Rfam family "Bacterial large subunit ribosomal RNA", at positions 1 to 1693 of the family's 2925-position model. The record is from RNAcentral. Lineage: Bacteria; Pseudomonadati; Pseudomonadota; Gammaproteobacteria; Vibrionales; Vibrionaceae.